UUCCUCUAUAAACACAGGUCUUGACUCUUGCUAAACACUCAAAAAUUCCCCAAACACUUUUCUCUCAAAAUUCUAACUUUAGCAUCGGAGGUUCUUCGGCCAAAGCCCCCCAUUCAUCGUGGGCACGUGAGGCUCAUGGCCUUGACCAAAUGUGUUAUUUGUUUUGUAGGUGCAAUUUUGUCUAAGAUCAAGGAGGAAGAAAUUUGCAUCCACAAAUUGGUGCUUUCAUUGAGAGUUGAGUCCCACACUCGUAGAAGACUCUUUCAUCCAAGGUUUUUCUAUUUUUUUUGUCCAUUUGUAGAUUUUUCGUAAGUUUUUAUUAUUAGAAUUUUUUAUUUGCAAAAAUUCUUUGAUAAAAUGUAAAAGAGAAGUACAAUGGCUAGAAAUUUAGAAAAUUCAACAAGUGAA
This 408-nucleotide long non-coding RNA is filed under the name Malus domestica (apple). Its description in RNAcentral is "long non-coding RNA (MDOM_LNC014095)". Lineage: Eukaryota; Viridiplantae; Streptophyta; Magnoliopsida; Rosales; Rosaceae. The record is from RNAcentral.